This 253-nucleotide ribosomal RNA is filed under the name uncultured bacterium. RNAcentral describes it as "partial 16S ribosomal RNA". It matches the Rfam family "Bacterial small subunit ribosomal RNA", at positions 524 to 776 of the family's 1533-position model. The record is from RNAcentral.
UACGUAGGUGGCAAGCGUUGUCCGGAUUUAUUGGGUUUAAAGGGUGCGUAGGCGGUCUAUUAAGUCAGCGGUGAAAUACUCCAGCUUAACUGGAGAGGUGCAAUUGAUACUGGAAGACUUGAGUACUGAUGAGGUAGGCGGAAUGGACGGUGUAGCGGUGAAAUGCUUAGAUAUCGUCCAGAACACCGAUAGCGAAGGCAGCUUACUAAGGAGUAACUGACGCUGAGGCACGAAAGUGUGGGGAUCAAACAGG